UUUUUUUUUUUUUUUUUUUUUUUUAGAGUGGGAGAGGGGCAGGGGGAGAAGAAGAGAGAAUCUUAAGCAGGCUCCAUGCCCGGAGCGAAGCUGGAUGUGGUGCUCUAUCUCACCAGCCUGAGAUCAUGACCUGAGUCGAAAUCAAGAGUCAGAUGCUUAACCAACUGAGCUACCCAGGCGCCCCUUACCAUUACCUUUGAUUGUCUAUUAGAGAGUACUUCACGAUUCAUUUCUCAUUUAUGCACAGACUUACAAGAAAAACAUUAAUCAGAUGAAUUAUUUACCAGCACCUACCAAGAGCCCACAAUUAACCGCAAAUAAGUAAACUCUGAGGAGCAGGGAUCUGGCCUUUAAUUGUUUCUUAAGCAUUAAAAAGCUUGACCUUGGGAUGCCUGGGUGGCCCAGCAGUUUAGCGCCUGCCUUCAGCUUGGGGCAUGAUCCUGGAGUCCCGGGAUCGAGUCCCACAUCAGGCUUCCUGCGUGGAGCCUGCUUCUCCUUCUGCGUAGGUCUCUGACUCUCCCUCUCUCUCUGUGUGUCUCAUGAAUAAAUAAAUAAUCUUUUUUUUAUAAAUAAAAAAUCUUAAAAAAAAAUAAAAAUAAAAAAUAAAAAGCUUGACCUAGGGACGUCUGGGUGGCUCAGUUGGUGAAGCAUCUGACUCUUGGUUUCAGUUCAGGCUGUGAUCUCGGGGUCUUGAGAUCGAGCCCCACGUCAGACUCUGUGCUCAGCGUGGAAUCUGCUUUUAAAGACACUCUCUCCUGCCUCUUCCUCCCCAUGCAUGCUCUCUCUCUCUGUCCCUCAAAUAAAUAAAUAAAUCUUUUUAAAAAAAAAUUAAAAAGUUUGACCUGGUAAGUGAGAAGGAAAGGACAAGAACUGGAACCUGCUACUGUCAAACAAAGCUGUCCUAGCAAAAAACCCCAGACUGCCCUCCUGCCUGGCUCCAGAGGAUUCAGGCUUGAAACACUGCAUGGGAAAUCUUCAGCCAAAGUCCUCACCAGUCUCUCCUUUGACUAACAAUCACCAUCCCAGGAAGUGGGAACUAUAGCAACUUUCAUAGUGUAGGUUGGAUAGAGGAGUGGGGAGACCACCUAUACCCUUGAAGCAUAAAUUCUCAUCAAAAAGAUUACAAAGUACAUGGCCUUGGAAGAGAAGAAACACAAACAUGUAUAAAAAUACCUCCUGGAGUUCAAUUAGGAGGAUGAAAUAAAUCAAAUACACAAUUAAAUAGGAGACCAGGCCAAGAUGAUGCCUUGGGAUGCUGAUUGGAGUAGGUAGGCUUCUCCUGCAAAUGAUCUGUCAAGACUGAGAAGGUACAGGCUAUUCUAGGUGAGGAGAACAGUGAGUAACACUGGGAAAUCUCAGGGCGAGGCAGAAGUAGGGAGUGACGGGUAAGGUUAGAGAAGCAAGAAGAACACAGUUUACUAAGUGCUUUCAAAGCUAGAGACUAGUGCCAUGGAAAGAGAUAUGACACGUAUUAAAUUUCUCCAGAGAAAACAGAGCCAAAUGGAGAGGGGAAGGAGGAAAGGGAGAGAGAGAGAGAAGAGAUUUAUUUAGGAAUUGGCUCACAUGAUUACAGACACUGAGAAGUCCCAUGAUUUGCCAUGUGUAAACCAGGGAACCAGGGAAGUUGGUGGUAUAAUCCAGUCAAAUCCAAAGGCUGAGAACUAGAAGCACAGCUGUCCGGGUUCAGGAGUAGAUGGAUGACUUAGCACCAGCACAGAAAGCAAAUUUGUCCUUCCAGCUGCAUUUUUUGCUCUAUCCAGGCCCUCAGUGGAUUGAAUGAUGCCCACCAGCAUCAGUGAAGGGGAUCUAUUCACUCAGCCAAUCCAAGUGCUAAUCUCUUCCAGAGAUACCUCACAGAAGCACCCAGAAAUAAUCUUUUACCAGCUCUCUGGGCAUUUCGGAGCCUAGUCAAGGAGACACAAUAAAGUUAACCAUCACAGAGCUCGGUUUUAGGAAGAUUGUUCCAGGCACCAUGUGCUGGGUGGACUGGGGAGACUGAGUGGAGAUGAAGUGGAGACAGUCCAGAGUGGAAAAGAGAGUCAUAACGAGAGCACGGGCAGUGAGGAUGGAUAGGAAGGGAAGGACGGGAUAGUUGGGCAACAACCCCUACCACCCUCUCCCGUGCCCACCCCGUUCCAGUCACAGUGGUCUCCUUACUGGACCCCAAACACACCAGGCACACCUAGGGCCUUCGGCUUUGCAGCCCUCCUCCCUGACACCUGUCAUCUCAAUUCCUCAUUUCCUUCAUCUCUACACAAAUCCCCAUGACUACCAAACACAAAAUAGCGCCCUUCCCCACCACGGCCCUCCUAGCUCUUUUGCUUUAUUUUUCUCGAUGGUACUUAUCACUAUCCGAGCUAAUACAUAUUUAUUUAUUGUCUGUCCAUUACUGAUAGGAUGUAAGCUCCAUGAGGGCACAGAUUUUUUUUUAGGUUCACCAUUGUAUCCUCAUUGCCCAAAACAAAGCACGCAGUAUGAAUCCUCCAUGAAUAUUUGGGUUGGGGGGCACCUGGGUGGCUCAGUCAGUCAAGCAUCUGCCCUAAGCUCAGGCCGUGAUCCCGGAGUCCCCGGAUCAAGUCCUGCACUGGGCUCCCUGCUCGGUGGGGAAUCUGCUUCUCCCUCUGCCUCUGCCUCUCACCCCGGCACAUGUUUGCACUCUCUUUCUCUCUCUCUGACUCUGUGUCUCAAAUGAAUAAAUAAAAUCUUUUUUAAAAUUACAAAUAAAGAAAUAAAGAUGUCUAAGACGCCAUCAAAAAUCCAGAACGUAAAAAAAAAAAAAAAAA
This 2783-nucleotide long non-coding RNA is filed under the name Canis lupus familiaris (dog). RNAcentral's name for it is "lncRNA (ENSCAFG00845023585.1)". The record is from RNAcentral. Lineage: Eukaryota; Metazoa; Chordata; Mammalia; Carnivora; Canidae.